UUGGUCUUGGAACUGCAUUAAAGAUUCUCUUCUCAGUUGAUGGUGAAUAUCGUCAAGAUCAACAUCUGCAGUUGCAAAGAAAUGAAGUGAUUGCUCUUGUAAACCUACUUAAUCGGCUAUCAGAAUCUAUCAAGCUAGUACAGGAAAUGAGCCCUACAUAUGAGAAGACAAUGAAGGGGCUAAGUCUACAGCCAGCUGCUAAGUUUAUAAGUUCGUGGAAUAGACUAUUGAAAACUGUACUAGGAGAUAGGUUGAGGAAGCUUACAUGAUAUUGAUAUAAUUUUGGUGUACAAUGAUGUAAAGAAUGAAUACAACUAAACUAUUGAAAGGUGAGAAGAUUUCUACAGCCGGAUAGCAUACAGGGAUACACGGAUUUAUCGCGGG
Molecule: unclassified non-coding RNA, 384 nt
Filed under: Hevea brasiliensis (rubber tree)
Lineage: Eukaryota; Viridiplantae; Streptophyta; Magnoliopsida; Malpighiales; Euphorbiaceae
Source: RNAcentral